CCACUCUGGUUUCUCUUCAACUCGUAUAAAUCUUUCGCCUUUUACUAAAGAUUUCCAAAGAGAGAAUACUAUGACGUUGAAUGUACUAAUUUAUAGAGUUUCAAUGUUUAUAACUUUGGU
Emys orbicularis (European pond turtle) is the source of this 120-nucleotide small nuclear RNA. RefSeq annotates it as U5 spliceosomal RNA. NCBI's taxonomy places the organism in Eukaryota, Metazoa, Chordata, Testudines, Emydidae. The record is from RefSeq and is a predicted model, not a curated record. The transcript has a single exon.